RNAcentral lists this ribosomal RNA (109 nucleotides) under Demequina litorisediminis. The record is from RNAcentral. Lineage: Bacteria; Bacillati; Actinomycetota; Actinomycetes; Micrococcales; Demequinaceae.
GCAGCCAUAGCGGCAGGGAAACGCCCGGUCCCAUCCCGAACCCGGAAGCCUAAGCCUGCCAGCGCCGAUGGUACUGCACCCGCCAGGGUGUGGGAGAGUAGGACGCUGC